Long non-coding RNA from Callithrix jacchus (white-tufted-ear marmoset), 871 nucleotides. RefSeq lists it as uncharacterized. The record is from RefSeq and is a predicted model, not a curated record. NCBI's taxonomy places the organism in Eukaryota, Metazoa, Chordata, Mammalia, Primates, Cebidae.
ACUGUUCUCUGGACAGCCAAGUGUAACAUCAGCAUUUUCCCAGACUACAGAAGUUAUUUCUGAGAUCUCACUGAUUCAGCCACCAGGAAAGAGGGAAAGCAAAAAGCAAGGAGUGGAAGGGGAUAAGGGUAUGUGAUGAAACCACGUAAAUUAUGUUUUAAACUUUUGACUUAUUGUUCUGAAAGGGACUCUGGCCCUUUUAGAAAGGAAGUUCUAAGAAGCUCUGAAACUUGAGGUACCUGCAAAGAUAACUUAGCUGUUGUUGUUGCUAAGGAACAAGUGUGUUUGAAUUGUGGUAUCAAUGUUACCAGCUCCUGCUCAAAUGGCAAAAAGUAAAGGAACGAUGUAAAAUCAGCAGUGGGGAAGGAACAGUUCAGUGUGAUAGGCCAAGGGUUAUUAUUUAAAAUCACCUCUUCUCUGAAAAAAUAUGGCCUCACAUUUGAGGAUCUCUUAUAAUUGUUCCCAUAAGCAUGCUGUCAUGUUGAGAGCAAUUCUGUGGAUAUGCCCAUGUGUUAUGGUGAGGAACUGAGGCCCUCAGAAAAACAGCCUAGAGAAACUGAAGCCUGCAGACAAUCAGGUGAAUAAGUUUGGAGGUGAAUCCUUCAUCUACAAUCAUGUCUUGAGAAAACUGCAGACUCAAGUAACAGCUUAGCUACAAACCCGUCUUUGAGCCAGAGGCACCCAGGUCCCAGAGUAAGAGUAGGCUCUACAACAGCCCAAGCUGACACGCAAGCUCUUCUGCCAACUGGAUCAUGUGAUUCAGAAGACCUGAAGCCACACUUACGGCCUCAUGGGGAGUUCCCCACAAUCAGUUGACUGAGGAAGAAAACAUUUGAAGUUUGUUUACAACCCAUUCUUCAUGAUAUUCAGG